Molecule: ribosomal RNA, 497 nt
Filed under: uncultured bacterium
Lineage: Bacteria
Description: partial 16S ribosomal RNA
Rfam family: Bacterial small subunit ribosomal RNA
Source: RNAcentral
GAUGAACGCUGGCGGCGUGCUUAAUACAUGCAAGUCGAGCGAACAGACGAGGAUCUUGCUCCUCUGACGUUAGCGGCGGACGGGUGAGUAACACGUGUAUCACCUACCUAUCUGUCUGGGAUAACUUCGGGAAACCGGAUCUAAUACCGUAUAAUAUAUUGAACCGCAUGGUUCAAUGGUGAAAGUCGGCUUUGCUGGCACUUAUAGCUGGAUCCGCGCCGCAUUGGAUAGUUGGUAAGGUAACAGCUUAUGAAGGCUACGAUGCGUAGCCGACCUGAGAGAGUGAUCGGCGACACGGGAGGUGGGACACGGUCAAGACGCCUACGGGAGGCAGCAGUAGGGAACCGUAGGCAAUGGGCGAAAUCAUGGCAGAGUAGGGCGGCGUGAGAGAUGAAGGUCCUCGGAUCGUAAUGCUCUGUUAUUGGGGAAAAACAGAUGUGUCAGUUACUAAGCACGUAGUGACGGUAACUAAUCAGAAAGCAACGGCUAACUACGUG